GUGCUGCUUCGGCAAUACAUAUACUAAAACUGGAAUGAUAAAGAGAAGAUUAGCAUGCCCCCUGGGCAAGGAUGGGACGCAAAUUCCAAAUUCGUGAAGUGUUCCAUAUUUUU
This 113-nucleotide small nuclear RNA is filed under the name Phocoena sinus (vaquita). Lineage: Eukaryota; Metazoa; Chordata; Mammalia; Artiodactyla; Phocoenidae. The record is from RNAcentral. RNAcentral also lists the same sequence under 1 other name.